UGCCAGCAGCCGCGGUAAUACAUAGAGUGCAAGCGUUAAUCGGAAUAACUGGGCGUAAAGCGCACGUAGGCGGAUUAGUAAGCUAGGGGUGAAAUCCCGGGGCUCAACCCCGGAACUGCCUCUAAUACUGCUAGUCUUGAGUUCGAGAGAGGUGAGUGGAAUUCCGAGUGUAGAGGUGAAAUUCGUAGAUAUUCGGAGGAACACCAGUGGCGAAGGCGGAUCACUGGCUCGAUACUGACGCUGAGAUGCGAAAGCGUGGGGAGAAAACAGGAUUAGAUA
RNAcentral lists this ribosomal RNA (279 nucleotides) under uncultured bacterium. RNAcentral describes it as "partial 16S ribosomal RNA". It matches the Rfam family "Bacterial small subunit ribosomal RNA", at positions 506 to 784 of the family's 1533-position model. The record is from RNAcentral.